This 33-nucleotide small RNA is filed under the name Bombyx mori (domestic silkworm). Its description in RNAcentral is "ovarian small RNA-27001". Lineage: Eukaryota; Metazoa; Arthropoda; Insecta; Lepidoptera; Bombycidae. The record is from RNAcentral.
UCCAUGAUGUCUACGUGCCCAGGUGGGGCUACC